RNAcentral lists this small nuclear RNA (95 nucleotides) under Mastacembelus armatus (zig-zag eel). RNAcentral describes it as "U2 spliceosomal RNA (ENSMAMG00000026582.1)". The stretch from base 1 to 71 matches the Rfam family "U2 spliceosomal RNA". From Rfam's summary of the family: U2 is a small nuclear RNA (snRNA) component of the spliceosome (involved in pre-mRNA splicing). Complementary binding between U2 snRNA (in an area lying towards the 5' end but 3' to hairpin I) and the branchpoint sequence (BPS) of the intron results the bulging out of an unpaired adenosine, on the BPS, which initiates a nucleophilic attack at the intronic 5' splice site, thus starting the first of two transesterification reactions that mediate splicing. Lineage: Eukaryota; Metazoa; Chordata; Actinopteri; Synbranchiformes; Mastacembelidae. The record is from RNAcentral.
AUCGCUUCUCGGCCUUUUGGCUAAGAUCAAGUGUAGUAUCUCUCCUCUCUCUCUACUCCUCUCCACCUCCAUAACUGCAGUUCUAAAGAUCUCUU